This 2411-nucleotide long non-coding RNA is filed under the name Mus musculus (house mouse). RNAcentral's name for it is "long non-coding RNA chr6:111121724-111124135". Lineage: Eukaryota; Metazoa; Chordata; Mammalia; Rodentia; Muridae. The record is from RNAcentral.
AGACAACAUUUUUAAUUUAAUUUUAUUAUUAUUUUUAUUUAUUCACAUUAUAUCCUCUCACUGUUCUUCUCCUGUCACCCCCUCUGAAAUCCUUCCCCCACUCCUCACUUCCCUUCUCCCCCCAGUGAGUGGGGUACCCCAGGUUAUCCAUCUACCCUAGCACAUCAAGUCUAGCCUCUUAAUUUUCUUUGUUUUUGUUUUGGUUUUUGGUUUUUUUUUUUUUUCCUCUCCCAAUCCUUCCCUUCUUUUUCCCCUGUCAUGGGAACCUCCAUAUUAAAGAUCACAUUUUGUUUUUAUUGAUUUUGAAUGGCCAUGCCCAUUUAAUGUUUAAUUCCUUUUCCAGUUGUUAUGACAAUAUGUUUAUUUGUGUAUCUUGUGAUCAACUCCAGUGUCUGUUCCUGGGAGUCCUUUUGGAUAAUUUCAGUUAUCAGUUAGAAUUCACAAAGACUGGGAUAAAAAACUCCCAGUAUUUAAACAAAUUAUUUUUGUCUACAGAGUUGUAGAACUUCAUUAUCUGUCUUCUGUCUUAAGUUUAUAUUUGAUAUUUUAAGUAGAAUUCAAAAUUAAAAGGAAUAUAUUCAAAUACAUGCUUUUGGUAGUCACCUUUAAUUUUGGAAUAUGUUACAUGUUUUGAGUAUUCAACCCUCAUUUGUUCCUGAUUCAUUCCCUAUGCCCCUUAUUGUUUUCUCUUAUUUUGUGUUUUCUUUUCAAACCCAUUGAGUGCAGUUAAGACUAUUAAUUUGUUCUUGGGUAUCAGACCAUCUAUUAGACCGUAGGUAGCUUUAUUUAAGAGCCAAAUCCUUAAAUAAAACUGACUAUCUGUCUCCAGCAUCCAAGAGCUAUGAACUUUUACUUAUCCAAUUGUGGGACCUUCAUACUGCCUUCCCUCAUCAUGCUGAGAUUUUUAUUGAGUUACUCUUAUACAGCACUUGCACACCAAGGUUCUUACACAUAUUAAGCAAAUGAUUCACUCCUAAUCUACCAUCCCUAACUUUACAUAAGUUUUUAAAAUGGUCCUAUGGGGAAGUGAGAAGGCACAGUGGGGAAAAAUAUUGCUGUAUACUCUUGAUGAACUGACUUUGACCCUAACAAACAAACAAACCAGGUAAGGUGAAUGGAGAUAACCGAUUCCACAAAAAUGGAAGCUGUGUUAUUCCUUUGCAUGGAAAUAUGGUUGAGUAAAUGUUGAAACUGUGAGGCAAAGAACGAAGCUGUGAAGAUCAGUUUACAUUUUAAAACACAGCACAGCAGGUUCUCAUCCUAAAGAUAUAUUCUAGUUGUGGUGGCUAUUCUAGUUUGGCAACUUGACUACAUCUGACAUUAACUAAAACACAAGGGAUUGUAUACAGCUGUGAUGGAACUUUUUCUUAACUAAAUAAUUCAAAAUGGAAAGACCUACUUUCAAUCUGCAUCUUUUGAAGUGGACAGCUGCACGUUUAAUCUCCUGCUGGGAGCCUAUAGAACAGGAGAGGCAGACGUUUGCUUGCACUCUUUGCCUCCUUGCUUUCUCACUCAAUAAAAAGUCCAUUUUCCACCAGCAUUAAAAGCCCAUUUCUUUGGGAUUCUAUUACAUACUAAAGACCAGUUGAGGUGUCCAGACUCCUGGAGUAAACAACUACUAGGUUCUUGGGACUUCUGUUGAUAGACAGACAUUGUUAAACUAGCUGGAUCACAGCCUGUAAGACAUGUAAAUAUUCCUCUUUCUAUAUACAUGUAGAUUAUUUCUACAAUUACAAUUCCUCUAGAGAACCAUGACUAACAGACUAGUUUUUAAAAGUUUACUGUUUCGAAAAUUCAAAGUGAGGUCAAGUGGUCAUGUUUGAAAAUAAUUACUCUGUAUUAUUUCAACAGAAUUUGAAAGUGAUAUUGAUAUAGGUAAUAAUUGUAGAAAACUUUUUUUUCUGUUGCAGGUGAGUAUUUUACGUUCAAUUUGUUCCUAACAUGGCUGCCUCUCUAGUCCUGGCUUCUGUUUUCAUCCUUCGUCACAUGUUCAUGACACUGUCACUUCAGAAGGACUCCACAGUCUUUGUCAGCCUCAUUGGAAAAUUAGUUAAUACUGUUUUAUGUUUGUUUGUUUGCUUGCGUGCUUCCUUGCUUCCUUGCUUGCUUGUACAUUUGAUUUUGUUUUGUUUUGUUUGUUUGUUUGCUUGUUUGUUUGUUUCUUUAACUAUUUUUGUUAGCUAAAUCUGUUCUUCCCCAAAUCUUUGUUUUCUCAAGUUAGUAUGUGUUGUUGAGGAAGGACCUGAAUAUGACAAAGUGUUCUGAACUAACACUUAGAGGUUUAUUAUAUCAUGUAAUCUUACAAGGUAAUACAUCUAGAGAUAAAGACACAACAUAUGGGAGCCUGUGAACCAUUCAUCACUUAAACUAGUACCAAAGGGUCAUGUAUAGAACAUAUCAAACUCUAUUCA